CUUCAUUACCAUUAAAAAUAACACUCUCCAACUCGGACUCAUGAUAAAUUAACAAUCUCAAGCAGCCCAACGCCUUCAAGAAUAUCAAAUAAGUCUCCAACGGUGUUCCAUAUUUUUUAUUCUCCUCUACAAUAACUAUUUAAUUUUCUUGAUAAAAGAUGAAUGAAAAUCAAUUCUUCAACUCAUUGUGGAGUUAUUUUAUUCAUUUUCAUAGAAUACACAAAUGAGUAAGUUCUCCAUGUUAAUAAAUAAAUAAUAUUUAUUUUUCAAUAAGUUGUUAUUAAUAUUAAUAUUAAUAAUAAUAAUAAUUAGCAAAAAAGGGCAUCUUUGUCAGAAAUAAUAUAAUAAGUAUUAAAGAGUUCAAAAUCAAUAAAACUCUUCUCCGUCACAUUUUCUAAGGUAUCCGAUACGCAUCGAAAAUAUAAAAUAAUUAAAAAUAAGUAUCCGGUAUGUAUUGAAGAGUGUUCAAGCGCAUCAAAUUAGGAUGCAUAUCAGACGGGUACGCAAUAAGUUUACAAACAUCCGUGCUUCUUAGCAUAUCAUUAUAGACAUUAUUAGCUUUGUAAACCACAUAAAGAACUUGAGAUUAACCAACGGAACAUUUUCCUUCCUGCAACAAGUUUGGCCUCUUAUAGAGAGAGUUAAAUCUGACGAUUCUAUUAUAUAAAGUAGUCUCGUCAUCACCCCCGGGCAAUACCUUGAGAAAAACUAAAGGAAGGAAAAAAAUAAAAAUAAUAAUAAUAAUAAUAAUAAUAAUAAUAAAAUAAAAAAUCGUUGAUGAAGACAGAGAGAAAAAAGCAGUCAAUUAAACACCUUGAGUGUAUGUCACAUAGAUCUUAUGUUCAACUCUGUAACAUACGAAUUCUACCCACCACCCACCAGCCCAAAAAUUUAUCCCCACCGCCCCCACCAAUAAAAAUUUUAAAAACAAAAAAGUGUGCGCCAAAAAAAACAGAGAAAACAUGAUAGAAAAAUGGAAGAUCAGGUAAGAAAGGUACAGGGAGGAAGAGAAGCUCACAUUUGGACCACGAAUACAAGAAGUGAUAUUCAAGGAUGGAUUUGCCUCAAAGCCCAAAAACACACAAGCAGUCAAUAAAGGAUUAACCUGAAGCAAAAGAUGUCAAUAAUUUUGGGCU
This 1136-nucleotide long non-coding RNA is filed under the name Olea europaea subsp. europaea. The record is from RNAcentral. Lineage: Eukaryota; Viridiplantae; Streptophyta; Magnoliopsida; Lamiales; Oleaceae.